Molecule: long non-coding RNA, 1264 nt
Filed under: Homo sapiens (human)
Lineage: Eukaryota; Metazoa; Chordata; Mammalia; Primates; Hominidae
Description: HSALNT0217722
Source: RNAcentral
UGCUAAUGACCCAGGGAUGGGGCUGGCUGUGCUAUAGACACGUUAGAGGUCAGCGCAAGUCUGUUUUCAGGGUUUCUCCAGUGGCUGCUGGGCUGACUCCAUUGUGGAGAGCUGACACUUGCGCUGCCCUAUAAUGCCCUGGACAAGGAUGGAUUCUUUAAGGAGACCCAGCUUUAAGGAGAGUAAGCCAUUUGAGCUCUAAAAAAGAGUUUUCAGAGUGAAACUAAAAUCUUGCCAGAAAGAACUAAUUUCCAGAUGCCUUGUUCUUCCUUCUUUCUCCUUCUCUCCCUUGCUGCCUUCCUUCUCUUCUUACUGUUAAUGUUUAUCUUAGUCGCCUCAAGCUGAUAUAAUAAAUAUGUCAGAGACUGGAUGGCUUAAACAGCAAAAUUUAUUUCUUGCAGUUCAGGAGUCUGGAAUUCCAAGAUCAAGGUGCCAGCAGAUUCGGUGUCUGGUGAGGGCCCACCACCUGGUUCACAGUUGGCCAUCUUCUCAUUGUAUCCUCACAUGGUGGAGGGCACAGAGAGGAGCAAACUCUCUCCUGCAUCUUCUUAUAAUGGCACUAAGCCCAUUCAUGAGGGACCUAUCCUCAUGACCUAAUCGCCUUCCAAAGGUUUCCUCUCCUAAGACCAUCCCACUGGGGAUUGGGCCUCAACAUAUGAAUUUUUGAGACACCCAAGCAUUCAAUUAAUGGUAGUACCCAAAUUCAAAACAUGUAUUGAGCAACCUGUGUACAAGAACUGGCAAUAAUAGUAAUAGGUACCAAUUAUGGAGAUUGCACUAUAGGUUGUGAAGAAGAAAUGACAGUCAAUUCCUCUGAUGGGGCCAGGACUUUCUGUUUUCUUACAUGGAACUGGGACUGAUGAAGAGAUUUAAGGAAGCAAGGAAGAUAAUAUUUCAACAAGGGGGGCAUGAGCUACAGUAUCACAUGUUGCCAAGGUGAAAUGCAAACUAUGUCUACUGGACUUGCAAGUUGUUCUCUACAAAGAGGUUCCAGCAGCCGGGCGCAGUGGCUCAAGCCUGUAAUCCCAGCACUUUGGGAGGCUGAGGUGGGUGAACCACCUGAGGUCAGGAAUUUGAGACCAGUCUGGCUGACAUGGCGAAACUCCGUCUCUACUAAAAAUACAAAAAUUAGCUGGGUAUGGUGGCGUGUGCCUGUAAUCCCAGCUACUCAGGAGGCUUAGGGAGGAGAAUCACUUGAACCUGGGAGGUGGCCUUUGCAGUGAGCCGGGAUUGUGCCACUGCACUCCAGCCUGGGCGACAAGAA